GCGCUAAUGUUUACGGUGGAUGUAACACUAUGGCUUGCGGAGAUUUUUUCGUUCAACCGAACCAGUUUGACCCAGAACCGGACCCAGAAGUAGAGGCUCCGGAAGAAGUACAGACUCUGCGGCUGCAGCAGGACGUUUCAGAAUGGACUAUAAUGACAGCAUGGACUAACAUGAUGUGGUCACCACAACCAGAGACGUUGGGAUCCUGAGUGAAGACGCAUCUUUCGACAGGCUUGUGGAAAGGGCUCAGCAAGCUGAACACCAUAGAAGAGUCACUAGUGACCUUCAAGUAAUGUUCAUCACUCAGGAUAUGGUCUACUACAACAUCUUGAAGUGAGUUUGAAAAUGGAAUUUAAGUCACAUAGUGUAACUAAUUUUGGUCAAAACAUGUUAAAUGAAUGAUUUAAGUGAAACAUUUUCUGUUAGCUUAGUGUUUGUACAUUUAUUUUGAGCAUUCUCCUAAGAAAUAUAUAUAUUUACAGGCGGUCAUCGCAUGAAAAGUUAUAUCCUCCUGGGCAACAUCAAAUGGCAGGGUAAUCAGAGUGCUGGGCUUCUUGACAAGCCUGGUUGAAGCACAGACAACCAGAUGUCACAAUCACGUGGCAUUUGUUAUGGAUGUGCUUCUGCCAGAGGUAAAUUAUGAAACUUUUUUAUUUAUUAUAUUAACAUAUUUUGUAUAAUUGUUAUUAUUGUCAGUCUUUAACUUAUGGUUAAUAUCUUGUUAACUGCAACAUGACAGACAACUUAAAUGUCUAAAUGAAAGAUGUCCUUUUGUUGACCUCAUGACACAGGCAACAGUCCACGCCCUUUCAGCUGUCCAUUGCAUUUUCCAUUGACAGUAUAAAUGUGGACUGCAGUAUGACUUGAGGUAUGCUAUAUACAUAAGGAGAGUGCUAAUACCUAUAAGUAUUGUUUUUUACAGUGUUUAUGACAGCCUCUCCAUGUGAAUUUCCUUUUACUAAUCACUAUUUUCUUCCAUUUUGUCUCAUCAGUGAGAAAUGGCUGUUGGUUCAUUACAUGACAAAAAACAUGAUCAAGGAGGCCCUACAGCAACUAGAAAAAUAUGCUGAAAAAACUCAGAAGAGCUCUGGACUCUGAGGAGUUUUUGAAGAGGCUUUAGUAUGUAUGUAGGAUGAAUUAAAAAAUAGUCUGUGAAAUGAUAAUGUUUAAUUUUAUUACCAAUAAAAGUUGUUGCUGGCUAAUUCAUUUGUCUCAACUUUUGUGUUUUGAGGUACAUAUUUUAAAGACCUGUGUAUGGUCAUAUUUAUAAAUACAUAAAUACAUUUUAUUUGUGUCAAAGGGCCAGUAGUCUUUUCUGUUAACCCAUAAGAAAUCAUCACCUUAGAGUGAUAUUUAUGGCAUCUGAUGUAGUAGGCCAAGCUCUGUGACAG
Molecule: long non-coding RNA, 1391 nt
Filed under: Sparus aurata (gilthead seabream)
Lineage: Eukaryota; Metazoa; Chordata; Actinopteri; Spariformes; Sparidae
Description: lncRNA (ENSSAUG00010025106.1)
Source: RNAcentral